RNAcentral lists this long non-coding RNA (12342 nucleotides) under Marmota monax (woodchuck). Lineage: Eukaryota; Metazoa; Chordata; Mammalia; Rodentia; Sciuridae. The record is from RNAcentral.
GCCUGACUCCCUGUCUCCUGCUGUGGAAUGGUGUGGAAUUCCAAUCCUGUUAGAACUGGUGGAAAGCAGGGCUUGGGAAUCACACACCCAAGCUUCACCCUUCCUCACUGCAGGGGUGUGGAAGGAAGUUCAGAUGGAGGAGCCCAGGGAUCUCACCAAGAUGCCACAGGAUUUCCAGCAAUUUUUCUUCUCUCUGUGUGUUGAACAUCCCUCAGUGUCAGAGAGUUCUUCCUUAUGUCUUACCAGACUCUCUCUUGCUGCCGGACCAGCCCAGAUGCUCCUCCUAGUGGCCAAUCUCCAGAGGUGAGUGUCCAGGUAUGUGGAGCCUGGGAGUAGGCCAGUGACCCCUCCUCCCCUGACGUUCAGAGGGUCUGGAUGGCAAAGGAGAACCUGGAGGGCCCUCUCUGUGUUUGGUGAAUAAACACAAGAGUCAAGUUUCUGGCCUGUCACUCUCCAGCCUUUCAUGGCAGGAGAGACCAGGUAGGCCGGAGGGAGUUCCCACUGGCUGUGCAUGAGAAGAGGCCGGAGCCUCAGGGGCUGAGGCCCAGCCAGGCAAGGCGCAAUCUGGAUGUCCAGUCACAUCAGCAUUUGCAGCAUGGGACUUCACACCUUUGAAAGGCUCUGGAGUGGCCCGCAGGAAAAUAAACGGUCCUUCCAACCACAGCGAAUGGACCAUCCUCAGGGGCUACUCGUCAUGCCAUGAAACCCUGUAAAAGGACCCAGUGUUUCCUUUUCCACUCCCUGAAAGGAGCCUCGAAGGACUGCCAGGAUUGGACAAGAGGGCUGGGGUCCCGCCUGCUCCCGGGGACAGCCACCGGCUCUGAGCCCUGGUUUACACAUCUGGUGACAGGAAGAAAAGGACCUGCGUGGGGGGCAAGUUGUGUGUCUGACGUGGAAUGAGCCGUGUGCCUGUAGAAGGCAGCGUGUGGGAGGGACGGUCACUGUCCUCCUCCUUUUCUGUCACCUAGAACAAGUUGAGUGCCUUCAGGAGCCAUGGUGCUCUCUGUCAAGAGGGGUGAGCGCCCACAUGUGUGAGGAUGAAGGGAGACAAAGGGCCUGGCCUGGGGUCGGGUGCUCAAAAGGUUCUCCUUUGGUCACCCUCUUGGUUCUUCCUCACGGGGCCCAGGCACUUGGUCUUACAAAUGCAAACAGUGGUGGGCUCUUGACCCACUGGGUUAAGAAUGCUGUGAGGACCAACCCCUGCCAGCAGCACUCGAUGACCUUGCUACACCACAGAAUCACAGGAGAGGCUAGACUCCAGGUACUUGGGAAGCAAGUGGGAAGAAUGCAGGGAUUAGAGAGUCCUGGGAUUAUUAUAAAUCUUGUCUCAUUGAAUGACAGUUCAAGCAGGAAAGUUGGAAGCCUUGAGGAGAAAGAGGCACUAGUGGUCCCUGUUGUCUGUGGGUUUCCUGAAGGAGCUGUCUGUCCAAAGCCAGGGAGCUCAGUUUCCACCCAGGUCUAGUAAGCUGCAAAUGCAACACACCCAGCCAGUGGAGAGAUGGCCCCAGAGGGUCCAUGUUCUCCUGCCUGGGCUUUUCAGAGCUGGGAAAGACAAGCCAAACUAGGAUCAAGGGGGCUGUGCAUGGAAGAGCAGAUCCUUUCCUGAACAUGUGGCAGUGGCAACUGAGCUGUCUCCAGAGGCCAUGAUGUCCCUGUGACAGGAGGUAUCCAGUAGAGGCUGAGGACCUGUGACAGAUACUGAUGAGGCAGGGCACUGGAUGGGAAGGGAAAUAUCUGAGAGAUAGACUUUGGAGUCCGGCACCCUGGGGGCUCCAGUGCUGGCUUUAUAAUCCACACUUGAGUGACCCUGGAUUAGUCUCCUAACCUUUGUAAAGUCCCACUUUCCUCAUGGAUAUAGUUGGUAAUCUCCACUUCAAAGACUUGUUUUGGGGAUUAAAUGAAAGAAUGCUUGUAAAGCAUUUAGUUCAGGGUUAGAAAGUUGAAGGAAGAUCCCCCGGUCAUGGCUGAGGUUCUAAGAUCUGGCAGGUUUCAUUUUAUAGGGGGUUAAGAUCCAUAACUUUGAGGAUUCUGAAAUUACAGAAGACAGACAUUAAUUUAAUACUUAUCCUAUACAGGAUACUUUCUAGGGGCUUGAUAAAAGUUAACUCACUUAAUCUUCACAACAACCCUGUGAGAUAGCUUACUACUGUUACCCCCAAUUUAUAGAUGAACAAACCGAGGCAGGAAGUUAAAUAACUUGCCCACAGUCUCACAGCCAAGGAAAUGGUAGAGCUGAGGCUAGACUCUGGUCCAAUGUCUUAUGCACAUAAGAUUCUAAGACCCCAGAUUUCAAAACCACUCCGUGUUCCUAACAUUUCAGAGAGUUGGAGACUGAGGGGCUUUUAUUAUUAAUAACAAACAUUCAGGAUGAGAUUGUUCUAGAACAGGGGUCAGCAAACUUUUUCUCUAAAGAGCCAGGUGGUAAAUAUUUCAGGCUUUAUGGGCUGCAGGUCUCCCUUCAUUGUUGGGGCUGAUAACUAAACAAGUGAGCAUGACUGCUUCCAAUAAAACUUUAUUUACAAAAGUGGGUGGCAGGUGCAUUUGGCCCUUGAGCUGUAGUAUGCUGAGCUCUAUUCUCCAGGCUCCUCGGACAUCUUCUACUCUGCUGAGCACCUCAGUGGGGGCUCCUUCAGGGUUGAGCCCCAUAGGAGCUCAGAUCGGCCUCCCCUUGUCCCCAGCUUCCAUUUGGAGAUGCAGAGAGGCCUGCUUUGGCCAGGGCGGCUCCUCGGGGUGUGGGGGCUUCUGAGUGUGGCUGUCCCUUUCUGUCCUAGAGAGGCUGUUGAAAAGGCUCCUCUCUCCAGCAGUGCGGCCUCAUUACUCUGGGCUGGAAAACAAUGUUAAUUUUCCCCCAAGCGGGAAGCAGCUGCACUUGUGAGCCAGGGCUCAUUUUGCUGCAUGAAUAUUUAUGGCCUGUCCCCUAAUUAAACCCAGGGGAAAAAAAAAAAAAAAACUCUAUCCUGCUAACAGGGUCCACGGAAGACUGGGAGGCCAUGUCAGGAACCAGCCUCUUGUGCCUGUGAAGUAGAUUGGCAAUGAAACAUUUGUUUCCAGAGCCACUUGGUCAGGGCCAGUGUCCAGAGGAGUGGCAGGGUGGGCAUUUCCCAACAGGUCAAGCACCCUUGGUGUGGUCACGUGCAGGUGCAAGGGGCUGCCUGGGCCACCUUGCCGAGCAGUGGCGGGUGGCUAUUGUUCCAGAACUGCAUGGGGUGACUCAGGGUAACUGCAGGCCAUAGCCCUGGCAAGAUUGUUUUUCUUUUAGUCAGGUGACUCAGGUAUUUCCCGAUUGUGCCUCAACGGUCACUCUAGUGGCAACAGCCCAGAGAGAGAGGGCCUCAGUGUGGAAACCAGGAGAGCUGGAUUUGACACUGAUUCUGUAGGACCUGGGCUCUCCCAGCCUCGGUCCCCAAACCCCCCUCCUCCUAUGUCGUGAAACUGAGUUUGGAAAUCUCAGGACCAACACCCUAGAGAAGUUGUUGCUGAGAAUUAUAUGAAGAUGAUAGAAAUACAGGUUUAGGGGAAUGGACUCUGGGAUUUCUUUACCUCCAGACCCUUCUCUUAAAUCCCCAGAGCCAAGAAAAGUUGACUCUGCCCAGCCCAAGUAACCUUGAGGGUUUCCGGAAACCAUAAAUCUUGGCUUUUCUUUGAGGGGUCCUAUCUUCAGAGAACAGCUUGGGCCCUCAUAUCCUCUUCCCUAGAGCCAAUAAACCAAGCAAACACCAUAAAGCUCCUCACCCGUCUGAGCUUUCCUGAUGGUCAGAGUCAGCUGGGUCCAGAUUCAAGGAUAUAAGAGCCUGACCAUAAAGUUAAAUAUGGCUCCUCCCCUUUCCUUUCCAGAACAGAAAAAAGAAUGGAACUUACUUUGAUUUCUCUCUGUUGCAAUGCUUUUUAAUGAUUUUCCUCUUUGGUUUCUUCACAGCACGUGGGAGACCCCAGCUUGUGUCCCCUGCCUUCUUCCGCCAGCUGCGAUGACCUGGGUGAGGAGGAUGCUUUCCCAAGGUGGGUCCGGGGGUGCAAUCAUUUCAGGGCCUUGGCAAACUGUAAAUUCAAAACUUGUAAAUUCAAAAGUCAACAAGAUGUGGAAGUGGAGGGGACCCUCAGGCAGAAGGGGAGGAGGUGGGGACGUGAGAGUGGGCCUGGCCUGGGAAGUGGGUCAAGGGUGGCUUCGGAGCCCUUUGCCUCCCCUGACAGGGCCUGCCCCACCCCCCUGGAGCCCUGGGACUUCCUGUUCUCUCUCUACCUUCACAUCCUGAGCUCAGAUCUGAUUCCAGCAACAGACUGGACUCCAGAAGGGACCUUAAAAGUCCUCUCUCUCACACUUUCACCACAGAUGGGGAGGCUGCAAAAAUGGGGAGAGCGGAAAUAACACUGGGCUGCAGUCAGGAGACCUCAACCCUGGUUCUAGCCUUGGUUGGGUCCAGACCCUGGUCAUACACAAAAGCCCUGAGCCUAGCUUCAGACUGUAGCCUUCAUUACAGUAGCCUUUCUAAUCCCAGGUCAGUGUCGAGGUAGCCAUAAUAUCACAGCUUCCAAUGGCCCAUCUUACUACAAAACCACUCACUGCUGUUGGCAUCCAGGACACCAUUUUUACUGAUAAAGGAUGCUGUGCCCUUACCAGUUUGGAAGUUUGACAUAAUGGCCCAUCAGAACACUUUAGCAAAGAUGUGACUGUCAGAAAAAUCACUUUACCUCUCUGGAUUCAAGUUUUCUUAUCUGCAAAGUGGGGGUUGUCAUCCACCCUGCCCCCAGCCUAAUCCCUUGGCUUCUUGAGGGCCAAUUGAGAUUAUGAAGAUGCUUUGCUAGCUAGAUGUGCUUUAGUAUAGAUGAAUGAGUGUUGAAGUUGUACCUAUUGUUUAUGUUGUUAUUUGCUAGCCAAAUUUGCUUCUGGCUAACCAGAAAGAUCUGGUGUCCUCUGGCAACUUAGGACCUUAGAGCAAAUUUUAUAGGUUAAAAAUGGACAAGAGGAGGCCCAAGAGCUUGGCCAGGGUCCCCAGACCCCAUAAGACUUGGGGAGCUGCUGGGUUAGAUAACGGAGACCUCAUUAGCCUUAUAUAGGUCUGAGUCUAUUGGCCAGACUGUGGCGCUGGCAGUUAACCAGCUCCAGUGUGUCACAGGUGAGUCCAGGCAGACACUUGAAUGCCCAGGCUUGGGCUCUGAUCAUUGUGGUCCCACAGAAAUUCCCAGACUCUGCUUGAGAGGAGCAAAGAGGCUCAGGUGGGUGCCUACAUACCAAGGCCCCUACCUCUAAACUAGCUUCCUUUCAAUUUCCACCAGCUCCUGCGUUUUGGGGAGGAAAAUUCAGUCCAUAUACUUUUGUUUUAUUUGCAUGAAAACUGUCACAAAACCUUGUCAGAGACAUUUGUGUUGUAGAACCCUACAGGGUCUCUUUAUCACUUUUUGAAGAUCUUUUCCUUCUCCCAGGGUAAACAGGAAUUCAUACUGUGCCAGGUCUGCACCGCCAGCCUCCUGGCAAUUGGAAAUGAGAAGUCCCUCAGUUUCCCUUGGAGCAAUGCUUGGCCAUUGCUUCCCUUUUUGAUUUGCCGCAAGCCCUCCUGGUAGCAUCCCCCUGCCCAACCCCACCACUGGGCAGGGAAUUAGUCUGUCCGGCUAUGAAGUAAUGUUUGUGGACACCUCUGUUUAUGCCAUUCUGCUACCUGACUGAAUUUCUUCCUCACCAUUCCUGAAAUCUUCCUUGUUCUUUGAGGCCCAGUUGCAACUCAACACAACCUUCUCCUGAUCAUUCCAGGUGAAGUGAUUGACAGCUCAGGAUUCAGUACUGUGUGACAUCAGUGAAGGUUUACUACAGAAUGAAUGAAUGAAUGGAGCUGGGCACAGUGGGGCACACCUGUAAUCCCAACUACUCAGGAGGCUGAGGCAGGAAAGUUCGAGGCCAAUCUGGGCAACUUAGUGAGACACUGCCUUGAAGUAAAAAAAUAAAAAAUAAAAAGAGCUGGGAAUAUAGGUCAGUGGUAGAGCACCCCUGGAUUCUAUUCCCCAGUAGUAGGGGGGGGAGAUAAAAGGAUGGGUAAAAUAUGAUGGAUGAUAGGUUGGCACAAGUUACCCUACACAUCCCUUUUUUCCUAGAAUGUGUCAGGUGGGGUUUUAGCAUAUGCAGAAGUUUGAUGAAUGCCUGAAGAAUGGCUGUAGGAAUCCAUUUAUACAGCAGGGUCUAUGGGGCAGGCACAGUGCAGAGGCUGACGUGGCAGCUGAGAAUCACACUGCUUCCUGCCCUGCUGCCCUCACCGUUCAGCUGAGUAAGGUUUACACAGAGAACCACAUUACCCAUUUGGUGACUUUUUGGGAUAAAUGUCACGGGGAGGGAAUAUGAAUAAGUCAGUAAGUGAAUGAGGAAUUGCGAAGAAGGGGAAUGAGCAAACAGAGUGAGGGAGAAAAGGCAUAUGUGAAUAAGUGGAUAGUGGGGAAGAUAAAGGAGGGGAUGGAUGAGGGUCAUUAUGAAGGGAAAAAAUCCAUGCCACGGGAUGUAGUGUUUGUGGACACAAGGACUAGAGGCCAACGUUGGCCGAAGUCAGCCCCUCUUGGGAGAGAGGUGGGCAGGCUGGGCAGGGGGAGGCUCCCAGGGCACAUGCGGGGCUCUCUGCAUCCUCAGGUAGGCACCUCUGCCACUGCCUUAGCAUCUCUGGGCCAGAAAGAGUGGCCAUUUGGAAUGAAGAAUUGAAUGCACAGAUUCCUGGGCCUCUGGGGGCUGAAUUUUGCUCCUUGCUGGGGAGGAACUGCAAGGUUUCACCACCCUAUCCAGCAGCAAGGGACCCUCUAUAUUAAGCCAGUAGUCUUGGGAAGGGGAAGCGCACCACCACCAGUGACCUGACCUUAAGGGGCUCUAAGAGGACUCUGCUGGAACUAACCACGCCCUUUGUGGACCAGCCCUCUGCCUCUGAGCUCCUUUUCUGAUCGCCUCCCCUGCAGCUUCCUCCCUCCCCUGGCACAUGCCAGGCCUGCUCCUGUCUUAGAGCCUUUGUGCUCCUGAUUCUCAUUCUGGGAUCUCUCCCCAGACCCUAGGGCUUACCUCACUUCCUUCGGUUUUUUUCCCAAACGUUACCCUAUGAAUGCAGGGCCUUCUGGGGCCACUAUACAUUUAUUUGGUCGUAUAUCCCUUCCUUAUUUAAACCUUUCUUUGGCUUUGAAUUGUUUACAGAGCAUUUAUCCUUAUUUAAGGUACUGUGCAGUUUUCUUAUUUGGUUUACUGUUUCUCCUAUGAGGAUGCCCACCCAGGAGGACUGGGAUUUGUGCUGCUUUGUUCACUAUUGUGUUCCAGCUGCCAUACAGUAGGUGCCACUAAAUAUGUAUUAAGUGAGCAAAUGAAGCAAAGACUCCAACUCAGCCUCUCCUCCCCACACACAAGCUACCGUUACCAUCUAUUCUUGCCUGGAUGCUGGAAAAGUCUUCCCCUAAACUCAGCUCCACCCUGACCCAGCCUCCUCCCAGACCCUAAUUUAUUCCCUUAUUCUCAGCCUCCUAUCUUAACCUCCAGCUUCCUCCCGGACCCUCAGCCUUCACCCUCACCUCUAGCUUCCUCCCAGGCCCUCAGCCUCCUCCCUGACCCAGGCAGUGAAUGGGGCCUUCACAUAGCCUUUUCUGGACUUGGGAGUCAAGAAGAGAAGUCAUGGUACUUUGGAAAACACAUGUUCUUUUAAGGAAGAAUUUUUUGUUUUCAUUUCAAACAGCCCUGGCUGGUGACGAGUGGUGAGGAGAGGUGCCCUGUUUUCCAUCCUGACACCUAUUUCCAGGUGGGGGCAGGGAGGCCUCCAAACCUGAAAUGUUAUUUCAAACCCUUUCCGGGCCUUGCGACUCCAUUUCCAGCCCACAUGCCUCAAAGCAAAGCACCAUUUCCCAUUACGUCGUCGUCGUGUUGCCCUUUCUGGUCUGAGCACCUUUCAAAGGGGGAAGACCUGGGCUGCUUCAACACUCCCUCCUGCCCCCGUAAAUAAAGUCUCGGAGCUUAAAUAAACAGCCUUGCUUGGGUACCGAUGGUCACACUCCUGAUAGGCCAGCUCGUCAAGGGCAGCAAACUCAGGCGGUUCCUCCCUGCCCUCCAGAGAGAGAUGAAACUGGUGUUGGGCAAACACUCUGGGCCUGCUUUCUGCCAUCUGAGGCACAUUCCAAAAGGAGCAGGCCAGGCGAGGCCUUGUCAUCUGCCAGGGUGCAGACGGAGAUGGAUGACGCCCUCCCUGCCAGAGAAGGCCACAUUUGAGACACUCCCAGAUAGCCAGCUGCCACUUUAUUAACAGCAAAGAUCCCCAUCUGAAUCAGGCUGGGAAAGAAAAUAUUUAUCCUUGCUUGUCAGAGGACCUUCAUUUUUCUUCAGAGGGAACCAGCUUUGGUGCAAGUCCAGGGCUCAGGGAGUGUGGCAAGUCUGUGGGGCCACUCCAGGCCUUGCAGCAGCCCCAGGGUUGAUGCCCCUUGAAUGUCCUCAGGGCAACUCUGGAUGGGAACAGGGGUGGUGGCUUCAGGAGAGCUGUGCAUGGGGAGUGCAGGGGAGUCAGGAUACCAGAAACCAGAACAUGCCCUGGCACCUAUUAGACAGUAAAUGACGGAUCUACAUGUAGGAGUGGGGCUGCCCUCAGAGUCAGGUGGACAGAAAGCGUGGGUUAGUUAGAGAAGCAACUUUGUGCUGAGUUAGAAGAAAAUAACUUUGCACUGUCAGAAAUGUCAACAUUGGAGCUGAGUCUGUCAUCUUAACUAGGCAUAUGUUAAAAACAGUUUAUAUCAUUACUUUUAGGGUGGUUAUUAUUUUGAUCAAAACUCGAAAGUCAAUUCUUUAGCAGUUUCAGGGGUGCCUGUGAAUCUGCAUCUUGAGAGACAGCUGUAUCCAAUGACACUGAGUUAUAAGGUGUGAGGCUGAACAAGCCAAGUGAGCCCAGGGAAGGGAGGGUUUGUCCUCAGAGGGGCAGGAUUGUUCUCCUUGGACCCCAGUAAGAUUUCCACCCCCAACUCCAAAUGAAGAUUGCCUGUCAUCCAGUGGUGGUGCACAUCCGAGUCAGAAGGCCUGGGUUCAAAUCUCGAUUUAGCACAGUUGCUUAGCAGUGGUGGGACCUAGUCAAGUUUUAGUCUCUCCUACCUUGAGACGGAGCUGCUAAAUGUCUCCCUCUUGGGGCUGCCUGGAGGAAAGUGAAGUAAGUCUGUGAAACCUGCAGCUCAGUGAGAGCUGGGGAAGUGGCAAUAAAGGAGGAGUCUCAGGCCUGGGGUUGCAGCCUCUCUCUAGGAGCGCCUUGGUCCUUUUUAUUUAUAUGUAAAUGAACAGGUACAAAGGCGCGUUAGUAUGAUUGCUAGUUCAUAUCUGAUAGUGGACCCAGGCUGCUAUAACAAAAAUACUAAGGACACAGGUGGCUUGAAUAAAUAGCCAUUUAUUUCUUGCUGCUCUGGAGACUGGGAUGUCCAAGGUUGGGUGCCUGGUGAGGGCCCUCCUCCUGGCUUUCUGGCUCUCUCUGCACAUGGCGGAGGGCCUGAACUCUGGUCUCUUAUAUAAACUCCUCUUCUUAUAUGAACACUAAUCCCAUCAUCAGGGACCCACCUUCAAGAAUCUGUCUAAACCUAAUCACUUUCCAAAGGCCUUCCCUACAAAUAGCAUCACCUUGGGCAUGGGACUUCGACAUAAAUUUUAGGGGAACACAUUUGGUCCCUAACAACAUAUGGGUGUGAGAUCUGUAUCGUUCAUACCUGCAACUGCUUUUGAAUCUGUGUGCUGAGUAGGCAUUUAUGUCUAGUUACAUAUUUUACAAGUUAAAAAAUAAAGAACAGUGAGGGCCUGGGGCUUAUAGCCAUGUGUGUAACCUAUGUUCAGGCCGCUGCAUCCAUGAGAGUGUAGCAAAGGUUAAGUCACAGGCUCAGACUACAGGCGUGAGUCAGUGUGUCACCUGUGUACCUGUGUGUAUUUAUAAGCCCCAUAUGGCAAGUCUCCUGCUCCCACCAGUCUAGGGCAGUUACUGAGGGGACCCAGAAGAGGGACUCAGAGGGACUGGGGACCUGUUGAGUCUGAAAUUUGGCUGCAGAUGCCCAAUGAUUUGUUUUAUGCUGUGUAAGAACCCUUGGCCCUGAGAGCACAGUUUUCCUGGAGGAAGGACAUGGAGUCUGUCCUUGAUGUUGUGGGGACUUUAUUAGCUCAUCUCCAUCCAGCGUGGGACCCAUUUUCAUCUAUUCAGAUGGAUCAUUUGUCUCACAGAUCGCCUUCAGAGCUGCAGCUCAAGUGACAUUUGCUUAGCAAUUGGCCUGUUUGAAAAGCGGAUGUGCUAGAGCCCAGGCAUGCAAACGCCUCACUGUCCUUCUGAGCUGGGGUGCUGGGGGGGCCAGGCCCAUGGGAGAAGGUCUGAGGGAGGGGGUGGGCAUUUGGUUGGGUCAAGGAUCCCACAGAAAUAGGCAAACACAUUAUCCACUCCAGCACCGGCAAUUUUUUCCCCCAGGGUAGCUAAUUAGCAGGCAGCUGCCUGGGCUCUCUACUUGACUUGCAGAAUUAGAAUGCUCCGCACAGAGAUCUGUGUUGAUGCUCAAAAUCCAGAGUCUUCUCCAGCAGGAGAGGAGCUCUGUGAGCUGAAGCUGACACUGUUAGAUUGCCCUUCCAGGCCUGGACCAGCUCCUCUGCACAGAACCCCUUCCCUGUUGGAGGCUUUGGAAAGUGGGAAGUCGGUCAGUGCAGGCACAGAUGUCACCUCACUUCCAUAAACACGACAAAGGCACAGACACACAAAUUCACCCAGGCUUAGGUUCAAAUCUCGGUUUAGCACAGUUUAGCACCCACCCACAGAGCACACCGACUGCACACAAACAUUCAGACAUACCUGAGAUCUGCACUGAGGUUCCCUGCUGGGUGUAGUGGCACAUGCCUGUAAUCCCAGCAACUUGGGAGGCUGAGACAGGAAGAUCACAAACUCGAAGCCAGCCUCAGCAAUUUAAGGAGGCCUAAGAAACUUAGUGAGGCCUUAUCUCAAAAUAGAAAAUAAAAAGGGCUGGGAAUGUGGCCCAGUGGUUAAGCACCCCUAGGUUCAAUCCCUGGUACCAAAACAACAACAAAAAACACACCCACACACAUGCAUGUAUACAUAUACUCCUAUGUGUGUAUGGCAGAUGCACCCUUUCAGGUGCCUAGAAACACACAUGUAAUGCCACACAACUGGGCACAGAGAAGCUUCUUAAAUGAAUUUAUAAAAACAAAAAUUCUCAGAAACCUGCAUUAGGAUUCUCAAUCAAAUCUCAUGUCAGCAUCAGAGAUGAGGUUAUAUAAGAAUGACACAUCAGAUGAGCUACCAGAUAUCUGAUGCCAGAUUCAGAAAUUAUAUGAGAAUUAGAAUUCUUGUAGCAGAAUUAGUGGGGAGUUUUGUAUAAAAUCCUGUGACCCUCCAGAAUCUGACAAGUCAUUGAGUAAGAUAUAGAGAAUUUUGAAAGGCUCCCCCAUAUAAUGAACACAGAACAUUUUUAUCAUUAGAAAUAAAAUUAAAUGACCAUCUCUGAUUAAGAGGAAGAACAUUUGAGUUGGUAAGUACUGUCAGGAAUUUUAAUUUAAGAGAUGUUUAAAAAUGAUAUUUUAUUGUUUCAGGAACAGAAUAACUUGGAACCAAAAUUUUCCUGAUUGAUUUUUUUUUUUUUAACAGAUUGGAAUGGUGACAAUGGAUACAACUUGCCCAGGAGAUUUUGAUGCAACUACAUAUGUUUCUAGUCCCUUAUCUUCUUGCUAUAGACCUGGAAACCGAGGUCCAAGUUGGAUAAGCUCCCGAUUUAAGUCAUAUAACUAUUUACCACUUCUGUGAGUUAAUGUAUGUAGAGCACACAGUAAGUGCUCAAUAAGUGUUAGCAGCUAUAUAAUUUCCAUGGUCAUUACAAUCGAAAGUCAUUAUCAUUAGUCAGGCAAGGCUAAGAAUGCAGAAAUCCUUCCUCCUCACCUGAUGUAGGAACUUGGGCUUUCCUUCUCAGUUGAGAAAACACUCAGGGGUUAGUAAAUGUCUGGGUCCGGCACCCAGUCCUCCUGUCUUCUCCUAAGAUCUAACUGAAGAAUGCCAAUCUUCCCACUUUCAGGAAAAAGUCAAAGGAGUGUUAUUGACAAUGGUAAGGGUGGCAGCAUGAUGAUCUUUAUGGGAAAGUCCUCUCUGCUCAGAGGCUUCGAAGGACAGCAACCUCCUGCUGGUCUUAUGGACACAACUUUCCCGUCUGCAGGGUCGGGUCGAUCACAACAGCUGCAGGUAGUGGGGUAGUGGGGCUGCUGAGCUCUUUCUGCUGACUGCUCCCCGGAAUCUCUUCAGGCCAAGCAAACUCUGAUUCUAACCACUUCUCCCUAAGCCAGGGCUGCUGGGUGGUCUAGGGGCAGAAGGACAGAAUGGGGGCGGGGCAGGGCAGGCCUCG